RNAcentral lists this ribosomal RNA (293 nucleotides) under uncultured marine eukaryote. RNAcentral's name for it is "partial 18S ribosomal RNA". It matches the Rfam family "Eukaryotic small subunit ribosomal RNA", at positions 1 to 299 of the family's 1831-position model. The record is from RNAcentral.
AACCUGGUUGAUCCUGCCAGUAGUCAUAUGCUUGUCUCAAAGACUAAGCCAUGCAUGUCUAAGUAUAAAUGCUAUACAAUGAAACUGCGAAUGGCUCAUUAAAACAGUUAUAGUUUAUUUGGUAAUCGAAUUUACAUGGAUAACCGUGGUAAUUCUAGAGCUAAUACAUGCUAUUAAGCCUGACUUCUUGAAAGGCCGUAUUUAUUAGAUAACAGACCAAUAUUCCUCGUGUCUAUUGUGGUGAAUCAUAGUAACUUUUCGGAUCGCAUGGGUUUUGCCCGCGACAAACCAUU